Hemicordylus capensis (graceful crag lizard) is the source of this 343-nucleotide long non-coding RNA. RefSeq lists it as uncharacterized. The transcript has 2 exons. NCBI's taxonomy places the organism in Eukaryota, Metazoa, Chordata, Lepidosauria, Squamata, Cordylidae. The record is from RefSeq and is a predicted model, not a curated record.
GAGCUGCUGUGAGGACAGUGAAGAGAUACAAGCAAACAAUAAUUAGGUCAACUCGGGUGGUGGAGUUGUCGGAAAAUAUUUCAGUUCAUGCCAUGCAUGUUUGAUGGUAAACAUUGGAUAGAGCCCUAACAAAAUGCAUAGGAAUGUCCAGUGAUCUCCCUACAAAAUGAAAUGGUGCCCUAACGGGACAUAGGGCUGCUGAGCCAAAUGAGCUGAGAUUAUGAUCGGGUUGCAUAAAAUAAGAAAAGAAUUAUAUGACAAUUCCCGGAAUUGAGCAUUGCCUUCCAUGAACUCCAGCCCAACACCUGCCAUGUCUUCUUGUGCAAUAAAUGUUCCAGCAUCA